Molecule: long non-coding RNA, 1272 nt
Filed under: Mytilus galloprovincialis (Mediterranean mussel)
Lineage: Eukaryota; Metazoa; Mollusca; Bivalvia; Mytilida; Mytilidae
Source: RNAcentral
GGUUAAGGCAAAAUAGACAAACAACUUGAUUUGAUCAAGGUGACAUAAACACAUGCUCAAUAACAACUUGCACAGAGAGAGUAAUAUGUCAAUAUAUGAAACUAGCGAACACAUGAUGAAAACUAAUGAAAAAGGCUUUUUUUGUUUAUUGAUUUUAUUUGUACAACUUUCUAGCUAUUUAAUAGUGGUGCAAAUAAGCAUCAAAUAUUCGAAUAUUCUCCUACAAAAUGUUAAUAACAAUUCCACAUUUUGUAUGACAUAGAGUAUUGUACUACCCUCAAAUUUGCGCUUAACUGUUCGCUGAGCAUUAUGUAUAAAAAAAAAAAUUGAACUAAUCAUAGCAUCACAUUAAAAUAAUGUAUGAAAGUAUUUUUUACUUUUCCUGUAGUGCAUGUUUGGCUGUGUCAGAAGAAAAAAUAUGCAGAAAACUAAUUUCUAAUAUGGAUUUUGACACCAUGUAGCUUUAAAAAAACUCGCUUAAAUACUUUUCAUUAUACAUUUAUUACUAAUCAUGAUAUAGAUACUUACUAAAGUUUUCGCAAAGUAUAAUAAACAAACCAAUUGAACUAUAAGUUCAGAAAUCUUAACAACCUAAAUUUAUAUAUAAAUGAUCUGGCUAUGAAUUGUUAGACAGGCAAAGCAUGAUCAAAUGCAUGACGAAUGAUGACUACAUGGGAGAUCUUAACAAAUGUACAAAUCACAGGCAGAUUUAACCCUGUCCUACCAACCUUCAAGGAGCUAAACUUGGUAAUGCAUAGACUUUUACAAGUCCCACACCCCACAUAGCUUAGAUAUGCACAGUAAGUGUAUCUUAAAAAGAAUAAAAUUUAUAUGGAAUUCAUAGAUAAACUAACUCAAAAUAUUAUAAACUUUUCAAAGCCAAAAUAAAGAUAGAAUCUAUGACCUCUAUAAAGCCUCUUAUAUCUCAGAAACUAAAAAUACAUCAUCCAAGGAGUAGAGGCAGGAACUCCAAUAAAUAGCCCUUUUAAGUUUUUUUUUUUUUAAAACUUUAAUUAUAAAAUGAAAUCUAGUGGUAUGCAUUGCUAACCAGCUAAAGGGAUAUUUAAAAGUAUAAAACAAAAAUUGUGUAUCUACUUCAUAUUUAUGAAUAUUUUAGCCUGAAAUAGGAAUAGAUUUCAUUUUGUUUAUUUUUCUAGAAAUUUUCCCACCUAUUUAUAUGAUUAUGUAUGUGGCGCCACCCCUCACCCAUUGAAAUCUGUAUUGAAAAAUAAAGAAUAUGGUAUAUAAAGACUAUUUCAGCAAAAAUAUUUG